Rhodamnia argentea is the source of this 347-nucleotide long non-coding RNA. RefSeq lists it as uncharacterized. The record is from RefSeq and is a predicted model, not a curated record. The transcript has 3 exons. Lineage: Eukaryota; Viridiplantae; Streptophyta; Magnoliopsida; Myrtales; Myrtaceae.
CAAUGGAAGCAUGCAAGCCACGACUCUUAAAUGUUCGGAUGGAUCAUGGCCAGUGAAGCUCCUGUACUACCCACAGCAUGGCUCGGGAAAGCUCUCUGCUGGUUGGGCCACAUUUCAGAGAGGAACUUCCGUAAAGAAAGGAGAUAUCUGUGUGUUAGAGCUUGUUAGAAAUGAUGAUAUUGAACUCAAAGUCUCCAUUUUCAGAAAGAAUGUCGAGACUCAGGCGUAAACUUUGGUAUGCCUGCAGAAAAAUCUCUGCUUCACUAUGUUUUGUCUAGUUAAUCAGAUCAAAGAAAGCAAAUCUUUCUGCUGCAAGUAAUGGAAUGGUGAUGUAUUUCCUGAUGUUU